ACACGACUACAUUAGAUACCCCCGUAGUCCCUAGCCGUAAACGAUACUCGCUAGGUGUCGGCCACGGUGCGACCGUUGUCGGUGCCGUAGGGAAGCCGUGAAGCGAGCCACCUGGGAAGUACGGCCGCAAGGCUGAAACUUAAAGGAAUUGGCGGGGGAGCACAACAACGGGUGGAGCUUGCGGUUUAAUUGGAUUCAACGCCGGAAAUCUUACCGGGACCGACAGCAACAUGAAGGCCAAGCUGAAGACUUUGCCGGAUUAGCUG
RNAcentral lists this ribosomal RNA (266 nucleotides) under uncultured archaeon. RNAcentral describes it as "partial 16S ribosomal RNA". It matches the Rfam family "Archaeal small subunit ribosomal RNA", at positions 717 to 982 of the family's 1478-position model. The record is from RNAcentral.